This is an RNA transcript of Larimichthys crocea (large yellow croaker), 1115 nucleotides long. It is a transcript of the gene named homeobox-containing protein 1, with no coding region annotated. NCBI's taxonomy places the organism in Eukaryota, Metazoa, Chordata, Actinopteri, Sciaenidae. The transcript is spliced from 6 exons. The record is from RefSeq and is a predicted model, not a curated record.
UGUUAAGAUGUUUCUCGAAGUUUUAAAGCGCUAAAACCAACUAACAACACGUUUACAUCGAGUAUGACCCAAUCUGUAUCUCAAAACAUUUUCCAACUCGUCCACUUUUAAAUUACACAGGCUCUGCUCACACAUUAGAAUAAGAAUCAGAAUACAUUGAUUUAAGUGUCUUACCCGCAAGAGGGUCCAGCUCAGGCGGGUCCAGAGCAAACAGGUCCGGCGCAGGCAGGUCUCCAAACAGCAGGUCCCUCGGAGAGGCGGGCGGUCCGGAAGGAGGCAUCUUUCCCGCAGUUUCUUCAUGGAGAACCAGUACCCAGAUGAAGCCAAGCGAGAGGAGAUUGCCAACGCCUGUAACUCUGUCAUUCAAAACCCAGGUUGUAAGCUAUCUGAGUUUGAGAAUGUGACGGCAUUGAAGGUGUACAACUGGUUCGCCAACCGUCGGAAGGAGAUGAAAAGAAGAGCUAAUAUCGAAGCUGCCAUUUUGGAAAGCCAUGGAAUUGAGGUGCCAAGUCCAAGCUGCCACUCCAACGGCGAGGAAGGAGAGAUGCAAGAGUUCGCUGAUCAGGUGAAUCAUCGAUUCACGGAGCAAGAAGAGACCUCUUCCCUCAGGAUUGUUGAACAACAAGACCCCUCCUCAUUGGCUACCACAGAGGUCGCAGCCCUGCCCAGCCCCACCCCUCAGGUCCUGGAUCAGAAAGAGGAGGAUUCAAAAAGGGAAACUGUGGACGAAGAGUGACCAAAGCUGGUGGAGUUUGGAAUCAUCGUGUUUUGAAUUUUAAUCCGAUGAAAUAGGAAAAGAAUAAGUGAUCUCCUCCUCCACCCAUCUACACGCCUUGUUUUAGCCUUUUUAAAGAGCGACUGUUUGAUGGACUGCGGUGACAUGAACGUGCUGAGCCUGCAGGUCAGGUGUGUUCGGGUGUAGGGAUAAAGUACGGCAUCAUGGAUCUAGUUUGUGGUGAUUAGAAAAAAGCCCUCUGCUCGCUUUGAAUGUCUCUCGACUCCAUCUGGUUCGUAAGACUCUAACCUCAAUCAGUCGAUCAGUUGAUGAGUGCUCUUGCUAUCAGAUCCGUAAAAGCCCUGAGGGACAACUGGAAUCUCAGGUAAUCCCAAAAAAA